CCCGUGUUCUCCGUUAUACUACAAGUUCACUGUCGCUAUGUCUGUGCAUAAUGUGCCUAUUCCUCUGGAUGGUGCACCACCCCCCACUUUAGAGGCAGAGGUCCCUUCCUCUGACUUGCUACAGCAACUCACCAAAUCAAUGCACUCAGCCAUUGCGUCUGCUAUGUCAGCAGUCAACGCUAAUAUAUCCCGCUCUGUCUCCGUGGCGCUGGCUGCGCCUUGCCAAGAGGAGGCGACGGCGAUUUCAGUCCCGCCCUCUGUGCCCCAUGCUUCGACUCAGGCGCCCAGCCUUUUAAGACCCGGUAAGUCUAGCCGGAAGAGACGAUAUUGUAUAGACGUAAUUACCCGUCCCGUUGACUUGUCAGCUGAGGGAGACGGUAGUAGACACUCUAAGACCUCAGUACCGCCUGAGGAAAAUCAUGUUGCGGAUGUCAGACCCCCAGCCCACGGGGAUUACAUCAAUGGUCGGGCUUCUCGUGUUUCCAAGCGAGUUAAACCUAACUCUUUCGUAGAGUUGUCAGAUGACGAAUCUAACAUGACGUCAGAUCAUCAGGGCACGGAUUGGAGUGAGGAUGACGAGAGCCUAGAGGAGGAGGCGGGCCCUUCCUCUGCCCCUGCUCCCCAGGCAGAAUCCUCCGGAACCCCGGUGGACUCAUUGGGUGUCCCCUUUUUUAACCCGGAUGACAUUACUCAUCCUAGAUCCGGGGAGUGGACGCCUUCUCCCCAAGUGUCUAAGUACAUUGAAACUUGGCUACGCAGAUCGCUGGAUCGCGCGAACCGCAGCAAAUUGAGGGCGGAAUGCCCGAGGCCAUCUAUUGGCAGUAGUGUUGCGAAGACUCCCGAUCUGGACCCCAUCCUGGUCAGAUAUCUCCUCAAAUCGGGGAAGAACCCCAAGAAGGGGAUUGAUACUUCAAGGGGGUGCAAGACAAACUCCUGGACAUUCUGGGUCCAUUGACAAAAAUCUUGGACAUGUCCGAACAGGCGGUGGCUUCUGGCGCCCCUGUAGAUGCAGAGACCCUAAGGGGGUGGGCGUUGCGGGCGAUCUGUCUGCUCGGCAACGCCAACACGGCCAUGUUGGCGGAACGCCGCAGGUCUAUCUUGAUGCGCUUGGACCCUCAGUUGACCCAUUUGGCCUCUGACGAACCGGGUCCGAGUGCAGAAGGACUGCUCUUUGGCGACUCCUUCAUAAAAAACAUUAAUAAAUUUGUCGGGCUGUUCUCCAGCCUCGACAAGGCCCAGUCCUCUCUUAAAAAGUCUUCUCAGGGGAAGGUUUUCAACAGGGCUGGAAGGGGUAGGGGUCGCCCUUCCAGCCGUGGUUCGUAUUACCGACCCUACCAUAGAGGAACUGUCCACUUCACGCCAGACAGACAGCACUAUACACCCGCCCCACCUGUGCAACCGGUUACCCCGUUCUUCCCGACCAGAGGUCGUCCAAGGAGGGCUCGAGGUUCCACGCGUGGUUUUCCCAGAACCAGAGGCACAGGCUAUUGAAGAUUUUAUCUUGCAUGUCGAUUUUACAGUUGGAGUUACUCGUUAGUAACAUUGCUUCCAAUCGAACCUGCGGUGUCCCGACGGAAUCCCUUCGUUGAUGUUGAUUGAAGUUCCGGUGGAUAGUUUGGAGAUCCACGCUGUUAGUUCGGUUCCUGGUUUGGGGAAUCUUCAAGUGUCCGAGAAGUGGUGAUCUGUUCCAGUAAGAGGCUGCCUGACAUAAAGAAAGAGGAGGAGGAGGAGCUGCAGUCAGUUUAUAUAGGACUCCCUGUGUGUGGUCAUUGGUGGAGGAGAGAAAGGGGAGUCACUAUGGUUGCUAGGUACCUAGUUACCAGCAUUUUUUCUUUUUAUGUUGUUAACACUUGCAUUUCUUUCUGCUAUUGGGCAAAAUAAAGAAGGAAUAUGCAUCUGAUACUCACCUCCUGUCUUUAUAAAAUCUAAAUUUUCCGUCAUAAUACUAGGAAAAUCUUCAAUUAUUGUUAGAAAUUAACUGAGGGCCCUAAUUAUGAUCACCUGGUUCCCCCUGUAGGAGGCUUACAGGAUUACAGAUUGGAGCACAGUGGCAGAGAUUUAUCAGAAGCUGUGUAGACGAAAGCAAAAUGACCAGUUGCUCAUAGCAAGCUGAGUGUUUAUUUUUUUUAUUUUUUAGAGGCCUUUCCAAAAGUGAAAGAAGCGAUCUGAUUGGU
Molecule: RNA transcript, 2174 nt
Organism: Hyla sarda
Lineage: Eukaryota; Metazoa; Chordata; Amphibia; Anura; Hylidae
Exons: 2
Source: RefSeq, a predicted model, not a curated record